UGGGGAAUUGUUCGCAAUGGGCGCAAGCCUGACGACGCAACGCCGCGUGGAGGAUGAAGAUUUUCGGAUCGUAAACUCCUGUCGAGCGGGACGAACACCGCGCGGGCGAACAGCCCGGGCGGCUGACGGUACCGCUAAAAGAAGCACCGGCUAACUCUGUGCCAGCAGCCGCGGUAAUACAGAGGGUGCGAGCGUUAAUCGGAAUUACUGGGCGUAAAGCGCACGUAGGCGGCUUUGCAAGUCGGGUGUGAAAUCCCCGGGCUCAACCUGGGAACUGCAUUCGAUACCGCAUUGCUGGAGUAUGGGAGAGGGAAGUGGAAUUUCCGGUGUAGCGGUGAAAUGCGUAGAUAUCGGAAGGAACACCAGUGGCGAAAGCGACUUCCUGGACCAAUACUGACGCUCAGGUGCGAAAGCGUGGGGAGCAA
Molecule: ribosomal RNA, 425 nt
Filed under: uncultured bacterium
Lineage: Bacteria
Description: bacterial SSU rRNA
Rfam family: Bacterial small subunit ribosomal RNA
Source: RNAcentral